UCCAGAUAAAGUUUGGAAUCAUUUUGUCAUUUUGCCUAAAAGCAAAACAAACCCAGUGGCCUUCUGAUGUGCCGGCCGUGCUGUCAGCACAGGAUAGUCCUGUGGUUCGUCGUCUUCCCUUCAUCCCAGGUGUUUGGGAAGCACCUACCGCCAACCCAUGAAUGACUGUGGAGACGCGAGAGGGACGAGACGAUCGCUGCCCUGCUCUUCUGGACCUGAGCACCCUCCGCGAUGCCUGGCCUGGGCUCCUGCAAUAACACUGGUCCGCAGAAGGAAAGAACCCCGGCCUGGGAAUCUGCGCGGGACCGCCCGUGAUUGUCUCUGCCCUCGGCGCCCGGCCGCGGCCCCUCUGGAUUGGCUCAGCCCAGCCUGGGUUCAGCGCUUUCAGAGAGGGAGCCAGUGGAGAGGGUGCGGGCCGAGGUCCCCGAAGACCUGCCCCCGGAGCCGGGCACGGGGAACGGUCAAGUGGCACUUGGCGCCGAGGAAGCCCCGCGAACUUGGGGCAGCUCAGACCGCCCAAGUCUCCCAGUCCUGGUGAGAAACGAGCAGAAACGAGCAAAAUAAAUUACUUUUGCC
Balaenoptera ricei (Rice's whale) is the source of this 576-nucleotide long non-coding RNA. RefSeq lists it as uncharacterized. The transcript has 3 exons. Lineage: Eukaryota; Metazoa; Chordata; Mammalia; Artiodactyla; Balaenopteridae. The record is from RefSeq and is a predicted model, not a curated record.